RNAcentral lists this transfer RNA (75 nucleotides) under Candidatus Wildermuthbacteria bacterium. RNAcentral's name for it is "tRNA-Glu". It matches the Rfam family "tRNA". Rfam says of the family: Transfer RNA (tRNA) molecules are approximately 80 nucleotides in length. Lineage: Bacteria; Candidatus Wildermuthiibacteriota. The record is from RNAcentral.
GGUCCCGUCGUCUAGCCCGGCCUAGGACACCAGGUUUUCAUCCUGACAACACGGGUUCGAAUCCCGUCGGGACCG